This 1483-nucleotide ribosomal RNA is filed under the name Trachelomonas similis. RNAcentral describes it as "SSU rRNA". It matches the Rfam family "Eukaryotic small subunit ribosomal RNA", at positions 251 to 1449 of the family's 1831-position model. The record is from RNAcentral. Lineage: Eukaryota; Euglenozoa; Euglenophyceae; Euglenales; Euglenaceae.
UCCGAAUGGACACUGUGCUGGCUUCUGAGUCGUCAUCUGACGCAAGCUUGAUCACACGAACUUCUGACCUAUCAGCUACGACUGUGGUGUAGCGGACCACGGUGGCUUUGACGGGUAACGGAGAAUUUGGGUUCGAUUCCGGAGAGGGAGCCUGAGAGACGGCUACCACUGCCAAGGCGGGCAGCAGGCGCGCAAAUUGCCCAAUGCCAAAGCUGGUGAGGCAGCGACGAACUGCAGCAAUUCUGCUGGUCUUGUACCAGCAGGACUUGGAAUGGAUGCUAUCCAAACACAGUGAUGAGUAACGACUGGAGGGCAAGUCUGGUGCCAGCAGCUGCGGUAAUUCCAGCUCCAAGGGCGUAUACUAACAUUGCUGCUGUUAAAGCACUUGUAGUCUGCCACUGGGCAGCAGGUCUGCUGGGCGGCCUGGCAUGCGUUCUGAACCCUCCGGGGUGAUGGCGUGUGCUGGGGUAAAACCCCCAGCAGUAUGUCCUGCUCCCGCAUUCAGUGAUGGUUGCGUAGUACUCCAGUUCGAAGUCCCCUUCAGUGGGGAUUGAGGCGGAUUCGCACCCCAAGCAUGCGUGGGGGUAGAGGCGGAGAGCGCUCUGUGCGCGAUCGCUGCCCACCACCGGAGUCCACCAUCAGUGACACCCUGGAAAACUCAGUGUGCUCCAAGCGACCUGCAAAGGCUGGAUGCCUAUCCAUGGAAUGUCAAAGCACCGACCUGAUGUGGCAGAGAUGUUGUGCCGGGCUUGAUGCCCAUUGAAGGACAAUAUGGGUCUGACCCCAGCGUCAGAGAGUUCCUCUUCCGAGAUGUUCAUCAGAUGACUGUGGGUCAGUCUCCAAACGAAGACGAUGGGAUUGCUCAGGGCGGAAGGUACUGCAACGCCAGAGGUGAAAUUCUUAGACCGCUGCAAGACCAACUGCAGCGAAGGCGUUCUGCAAGUGCAUGUUCGUCGAUCAAGAAUGAGAGUGUGGGGAGCGAAGAUGAUCAGACACCGUCGUAGUCCACAACUGUAAACCAUGCCAGCUCGGCAUUGGUGAGGCAAUCAUUGUAUGAACCAUAUCAGUGCCAUGCCCCCUUCAACGAGAAAUCCAAGCCAUUGGGUUCAGGGGGGAGUACUGUCGCAAGGCUGGAACUUAAAGGAAUUGACGGAAUGGCACCACAAGGCGUGGAGUAUGCGGCUUAAUUUGACUCAACACGGGAAAUGUUACCAGGUCAGGACCUUGCCAGGAUGGACAGAUUGAGAGCUCUUUCUUGAUCCUUGGGAUGGUGGUGCAUGGCCGCUCCUGAUUGGUGGAGUGAUUUGUCUGGUUGAUUCCGAUAACGAGUGAGAUAUCUGCCUGCCAAUAGCCCCAGUCUCGCACUUGUAGGGCGGGCCUCAGUGAGGUUCCAGCUUGCUGGUUCAACGCUGCAGGUCCCCCGAGAGUUCUGGGCUGCUUCUCUGAGGUGCUGUGUUCGCUGCCAAGAGCACGCAUGCAAGAG